GUCUACGGCCAUACCACCCUGAACGUGCCCGAUCUCGUCUGAUCUCAGAAGCUAAGCAGGGUCGGGCCUGGUUAGUACUUGGAUGGGAGAAGCAUAUGGGAGAAAAUAUUCAGCAUCCACC
This 121-nucleotide ribosomal RNA is filed under the name Mustela putorius furo (domestic ferret). The record is from RNAcentral. Lineage: Eukaryota; Metazoa; Chordata; Mammalia; Carnivora; Mustelidae.